Molecule: long non-coding RNA, 206 nt
Filed under: Sorghum bicolor (sorghum)
Lineage: Eukaryota; Viridiplantae; Streptophyta; Magnoliopsida; Poales; Poaceae
Description: long non-coding RNA (SBIC_LNC011944)
Source: RNAcentral
GGGGUUAUCAGGAAAUAUGGAAGAAAGGCCCAUACGUCGGGAUUACAUAGAGAUAUUAACAAGCCGCGCGAUUAUCUUACAUCUAGAAGACUCCAGAAGCCGCGAGACCGAAGCGGAGGUGAAACGGGGCCAGAGGCAGGGCGCUCGCCCUCCUGCUCUAGGCGCCCGCCCCCUCUGAGAGUCCAAUCAGGACUCUGCUUCGUGGG